RNAcentral lists this ribosomal RNA (253 nucleotides) under uncultured bacterium. Its description in RNAcentral is "partial 16S ribosomal RNA". It matches the Rfam family "Bacterial small subunit ribosomal RNA", at positions 524 to 776 of the family's 1533-position model. The record is from RNAcentral.
UACGAAGGGGGCUAGCGUUGCUCGGAAUCACUGGGCGUAAAGGGUGCGUAGGCGGGGUUUUACGUCAGGGGUGAAAUCCUGGAGCUCAACUCCAGAACUGCCUUUGAUACUGAAGAUCUUGAGUCCGGGAGAGGUGAGUGGAACUGCGAGUGUAGAGGUGAAAUUCGUAGAUAUUCGCAAGAACACCAGUGGCGAAGGCGGCUCACUGGCCCGGUACUGACGCUGAGGCACGAAAGCGUGGGGAGCAAACAGG